GAUCAUGGCUCAGGAUGAACGCUAGCUACGGGCUUAACACAUGCAAGUCGAGGGGCAGCAGGGCAAUAGCUGCUGUUGUGCUGGCGACCGGCGCACGGGUGAGUAACGCGUAUCCAACCUACCCCCGCGGUCAGGGACAGCCCGGCGAAAGUCGGAUUAAUACCUGAUGCAGUCAGAAGAGGGCAUCUGAUUUUGACGAAAGAUUCAUCGCCUCGGGAUGGGGGAUGCGUAGGAUUAGGCAGGCGGCGGGUAACGGCCCACCGCGCCGACGAUCCUUAGGGGUUCUGAGAGGAAGGUCCCCCACACUGGUACUGAGACACGGACCAGACUCCUACGGGAGGCAGCAGUGAGGAAUAUUGGUCAAUGGGCGCGAGCCUGAACCAGCCAAGUAGCGUGCAGGAUGACCGGCCCUAUGGGUUGUAAACUGCUUUUAUGCGGGGAUAAAGUGCGGCACGUGUGCCGUUUUGUAGGUACCGCAUGAAUAAGGACCGGCUAAUUCCGUGCCAGCCGCGGC
Molecule: ribosomal RNA, 514 nt
Filed under: uncultured bacterium
Lineage: Bacteria
Description: bacterial SSU rRNA
Rfam family: Bacterial small subunit ribosomal RNA
Source: RNAcentral